GGGUCGGUACCGAAGCGGUCAAACGGGGCAGACUGUAAAUCUGCUGGCUUUACGCCUUCGCUGGUUCGAGUCCAGCCCGGCCCACCA
RNAcentral lists this transfer RNA (87 nucleotides) under Candidatus Peregrinibacteria bacterium. Its description in RNAcentral is "tRNA-Tyr". It matches the Rfam family "tRNA". From Rfam's summary of the family: Transfer RNA (tRNA) molecules are approximately 80 nucleotides in length. The record is from RNAcentral. Lineage: Bacteria; Candidatus Peregrinibacteriota.